UUCAAGCAAGCCUCAAAGCCACCAAGCUCAACACACACGGGAGAGUCCUUCCAGGAGUGACGAAUUCCUGGAUUCACACCGGCCCUUCCAAUCAGUAAGAGUCGGUGUAGGCUGCCAUCUAACUAGCCUCCCUGUACUUCGUAAAGAGUACCAUGUGUCUACACUUCCUGAAGGAAUGGAGAAAUGGAUGCCUGAGAAGACAGACAGAACCAGAGUGUCUGGUGGUGAGUGGACUUACAGCUGUGUGCCCCCAGGGCCUGUCUGGGAGGUGAUAAGUUCUCAACCUUUCAAAAUGAGGAACUCGUGGUGUUGAUCUAUUCCAAAUCUUUUGCUCCUUUAUUCCCGUGGAAGGUGCCUGCUACUGCCUCCUCAAAGGCAGCGCUCUUCUCUCACCAGCAGCAGCUACACCUCUGUCCAGACUUGCAGUGGUAACUUACUCUGCCCCACUGGUGUGAGUCCAAGCCUUCUACAAGUGGAUCAGAAAGAAGGCCAAGUGCUUCUGCUUCAAGAGAAACCUAAAUCUCAGCAUGGCAGAUACGGCACAGUACAGGAGGCCGGAAGGCUUGUCUUGUCCUGUUAACAAACUGAGUCUAUCUUUAUCCAUUAACCAAGAGACCACC
RNAcentral lists this long non-coding RNA (620 nucleotides) under Rattus norvegicus (Norway rat). Its description in RNAcentral is "long non-coding RNA NONRATT023473". The record is from RNAcentral. Lineage: Eukaryota; Metazoa; Chordata; Mammalia; Rodentia; Muridae.